GCCAGCAGCCAUGUCACCCUGCAACUCACGACUGGUAACCCACUAAGCUAUGCAGGUGCGAGCCUGGUCAGUACCUGGAUAGGAGACCUCCUGGGAAAAACUAAGGUUACUGCUGGAA
Molecule: ribosomal RNA, 118 nt
Filed under: Lepisosteus oculatus (spotted gar)
Lineage: Eukaryota; Metazoa; Chordata; Actinopteri; Semionotiformes; Lepisosteidae
Source: RNAcentral